GAACGCUAGCGACAGGCCUAACACAUGCAAGUCGAGGGGCAGCACAAGGAGCAAUCUGAGGUGGCGACCGGCGCACGGGUGAGUAACACGUAUGCAACCUGCCUGUAAGCGGGGAAUAACCCGUUGAAAGACGGGCUAAUACCGCAUAAUACUAAAUUACUGCAUGGUAAUUUAUUUAAACAUUUAUGGCUUACAGAUGGGCAUGCGCAUGAUUAGCUAGUUGGAGAGGUAACGGCUCCCCAAGGCAACGAUCAUUAGGGGUUCUGAGAGGAAGGUCCCCCCACACUGGUACUGAGACACGGACCAGACUCCUACGGGAGGCAGCAGUGAGGAAUAUUGGUCAAUGGACGAGAGUCUGAACCAGCCAAGUCGCGUGCAGGAAGAAUGUUCCCUAUGGAUUGUAAACUGCUUUUGCAGGGGAAUAAAGUGCAUCACGUGUGAUGUUUUGUAUGUACUCUGCGAAUAAGGAUCGGCUAACUCCGUGCCAGCAGCCGC
This 495-nucleotide ribosomal RNA is filed under the name uncultured bacterium. Its description in RNAcentral is "bacterial SSU rRNA". It matches the Rfam family "Bacterial small subunit ribosomal RNA", at positions 31 to 518 of the family's 1533-position model. The record is from RNAcentral.